AUUGAACGCUGGCGGCAUGCUUUACACAUGCAAGUCGAACGGUAACAGGCCUUCGGGUGCUGACGAGUGGCGAACGGGUGAGUAAUGCAUCGGAACGUACCCAGAGGUGGGGGAUAACGCAGCGAAAGCUGUGCUAAUACCGCAUGUGAUCUGAGGAUGAAAGCGGGGGACCGAGCAGCAAUGUUUGGCCUCGCGCCUUUGGAGCGGCCGAUGUCGGAUUAGCUAGUUGGUGGGGUAAAGGCCUACCAAGGCGACGAUCCGUAGCUGGUCUGAGAGGACGACAAGCCACACUGGGACUGAGACACGGCCCAGACUCCUACGGGAGGCAGCAGUGGGGAAUUGUGGACAAUGGGCGCAAGCCUGAUACAGCAAUGCCGCGUGCGGGAAGAAGGCCUUCGGGUUGUAAACCGCUUUUGGCAGGAACGAAACGGUGUCCGCUAAUACCGGGCGCUAAUGACGGUACCUGCAGAAUAAGCACCGGCUAACUACGUG
This 492-nucleotide ribosomal RNA is filed under the name uncultured bacterium. RNAcentral's name for it is "partial 16S ribosomal RNA". It matches the Rfam family "Bacterial small subunit ribosomal RNA", at positions 29 to 507 of the family's 1533-position model. The record is from RNAcentral.